RNAcentral lists this transfer RNA (50 nucleotides) under Anolis auratus (grass anole). RNAcentral describes it as "partial tRNA-Trp". Lineage: Eukaryota; Metazoa; Chordata; Lepidosauria; Squamata; Anolidae. The record is from RNAcentral.
AAACUUAGGUUAACACAAANCCAUGGGCCUUCAAAGCCCAAAAUAAGAAC